Molecule: ribosomal RNA, 926 nt
Filed under: Salmonella enterica subsp. enterica serovar Kentucky
Lineage: Bacteria; Pseudomonadati; Pseudomonadota; Gammaproteobacteria; Enterobacterales; Enterobacteriaceae
Description: bacterial LSU rRNA
Rfam family: Bacterial large subunit ribosomal RNA
Source: RNAcentral
UUAACCGCAUAGGGGAGCCGGAGGGAAACCGAGUCUUAAUUGGGCGUUAAGUUGCAGGGUAUAGACCCGAAACCCGGUGAUCUAGCCAUGGGCAGGUUGAAGGUUGGGUAACACUAACUGGAGGACCGAACCGACUAAUGUUGAAAAAUUAGCGGAUGACCUGUGGCUGGGGGUGAAAGGCCAAUCAAACCGGGAGAUAGCUGGUUCUCCCCGAAAGCUAUUUAGGUAGCGCCUCGUGAAUUCAUCUCCGGGGGUAGAGCACUGUUUCGGCUAGGGGGCCAUCCCGGCUUACCAACCCGAUGCAAACUGCGAAUACCGGAGAAUGUUAUCACGGGAGACACACGGCGGGUGCUAACGUCCGUCGUGAAGAGGGAAACAACCCAGACCGCCAGCUAAGGUCCCAAAGUCACAGUUAAGUGGGAAACGAUGUGGGAAGGCUCAGACAGCCAGGAUGUUGGCUUAGAAGCAGCCAUCAUUUAAAGAAAGCGUAAUAGCUCACUGGUCGAGUCGGCCUGCGCGGAAGAUGUAACGGGGCUAAACCAUGCACCGAAGCUGCGGCAGCGACGCUGAUGCGUUGUUGGGUAGGGGAGCGUUCUGUAAGCCUGUGAAGGUGGCCUGUGAGGGUUGCUGGAGGUAUCAGAAGUGCGAAUGCUGACAUAAGUAACGAUAAAGCGGGUGAAAAGCCCGCUCGCCGGAAGACCAAGGGUUCCUGUCCAACGUUAAUCGGGGCAGGGUGAGUCGACCCCUAAGGCGAGGCCGAAAGGCGUAGUCGAUGGGAAACGGGUUAAUAUUCCCGUACUUGGUGUUACUGCGAAGGGGGGACGGAGAAGGCUAUGUUGGCCGGGCGACGGUUGUCCCGGUUUAAGCGUGUAGGCUGGUUUUCCAGGCAAAUCCGGAAAAUCAAGGCUGAGGCGUGAUGACGAGGC